GACGAACGCUGGCGGCGUGCUUAACACAUGCAAGUCGAACGAAGAGCGAUGGAAGCUUGCUUCUAUCAAUCUUAGUGGCGAACGGGUGAGUAACGCGUAAUCAACCUGCCCUUCAGAGGGGGACAACAGUUGGAAACGACUGCUAAUACCGCAUACGAUCUAAUCUCGGCAUCGAGGAUAGAUGAAAGGUGGCCUCUACAUGUAAGCUAUCACUGAAGGAGGGGAUUGCGUCUGCUUAGCUAGUUGGAGGGGUAACGGCCCACCAAGGCGAUGAUCAGUAGCCGGUCUGAGAGGAUGAACGGCCACAUUGGGACUGAGACACGGCCCAGACUCCUACGGGAGGCAGCAGUGGGGAAUCUUCCGCAAUGGACGAAAGUCUGACGGAGCAACGCCGCGUGAGUGAUGGCGGCCUUCGGGUUGUAAAGCUCUGUUAAUCGGGACGAAAGGCCUUCUUGCAAAUAGUGAGAAGGAUUGACGGUACCGGAAUAGAAAGCCACGGCUAACUACGUG
RNAcentral lists this ribosomal RNA (510 nucleotides) under uncultured bacterium. Its description in RNAcentral is "partial 16S ribosomal RNA". It matches the Rfam family "Bacterial small subunit ribosomal RNA", at positions 28 to 507 of the family's 1533-position model. The record is from RNAcentral.